ACUACUAUGCUGUUAAUUCCGCCCUGAGUAGUACCAGCGUCAGCUUUWAACUCAAAGAAUUUGGCGGCACCCUCCCCCGCUAGAGGAGCCUGCCCCAUAAAUGAUGACCCACGCUACGAUAGUCCUAGGUUUAUAGUUUGUAUACCGCCGUUUAGGGUGUAUUAGGAAGUACACUCGAGAUAAGAUUAAUUAGUAUAUCAGGUCAAGGUGCAGCCUAUGCAUAGGAGGUGGUGGGCUACAUUGAAAAUAUUUACACGGAAUUUAAUUAUAAUAGUUAAAUAAAGGUGGAUUUAUAAGUAAAACAUUAGGUUAUCAUGUUUGAAGGGG
Molecule: ribosomal RNA, 327 nt
Filed under: Cloeon dipterum
Lineage: Eukaryota; Metazoa; Arthropoda; Insecta; Ephemeroptera; Baetidae
Description: partial 12S ribosomal RNA
Source: RNAcentral